This 654-nucleotide ribosomal RNA is filed under the name Triticum aestivum (bread wheat). Its description in RNAcentral is "partial small subunit ribosomal RNA". The record is from RNAcentral. Lineage: Eukaryota; Viridiplantae; Streptophyta; Magnoliopsida; Poales; Poaceae.
AUGGUUCUGAUAGAUAUCAGGAAUAUGCUACAAUCAAUGGGAAAGGACAUAGAGUCAUUCCCUCUUCCUGGUAUGAAUGAAGAAUAUGACACUGCUUCCGGCAUGCCAAGGGAGAUCUUCGAGGAAUCCACCAUUGAGCUCAAUGUUGAGGACACAAAUCUAUCAGAUUCACUUAAUUCAGAUCAAAGGAAAGCCUACGAUGAAAUUAUGUAUGUUGUUGACAGUGAUGAGGGUGGCGUAUUCUUUGUGGAUGGGCCUGGAGGCACUGGGAAGACUUAUCUAUAUAGGGCACUUCUUGCAAAAGUCCGUGGACAGAAAAAGAUUGCAGUAGCAACAGCUACGUCCGGCGUUGCAGCUACCAUAAUGCCCGGAGGGAGAGCAGCUCAUUCACGGUUCAAGAUACCGCUAAGCAUUGACGAUGGUGGGUUUUGUAGCUUCACUAAACAGAGUGGAACUGCCAAGCUCUUACAGUCAGCUUCCCUCAUUAUAUGGGAUGAGGCUUCGAUGACAAAGAGGCAGGCAGUGGAGGCGCUAGACAAUAGUAUGCGUGAUAUAAUGAGCCGACCAGACCGACCAUUCGGUGGAAAGACAGUUGUAUUAGGUGGAGAUUUCAGGCAAGUCCUCCUUGUUGUCCGUAAGGGGUCAAGGGCUUAG